GCCAGGGCACUGGCUUGGCCGAGGGGUUAUGCCCCACCUGCCCAUAGUUCUACCAAGGACCAGUCACCCCCAAUCCCAGAAGAAGGGACUUAGAACAAAAGGUCUCUCACCCACUUUCCAGAUUGGAUAAAUGGAGACCAAAGAGUUCUUCCUUUGCUCAGGAUAGGAGAUAGGAACCCCACCAGCGAAAUCACUAUCUUGGGGCCCAGAUUGUCCACAUGUGAAACAGGGAGAAGAGAGGGGAGGGACAUGACCACGUCUACACCUCAGGAAAAUUUAUCCAGCAGCAUGUAAAGAAAGGAUGGAAGAAAGGGGAGAAUCCAAAGAUGAGCAGAUGCAGGCCCUGCCCUCAGGAAGCUUACAGUCAUGGGGAGACAGGAGGAACAGACCCAGACCCUGUGCUCAGGAAGCUCAUCUGAUAAGGGUCAUAAGAAAAGUGAGGAAUCAAAGCCAGAGUUGUUCAGAUGCUGGAGAGAUCACUUCUGCCUAGGGAAGAUCUGGGAAAGUUUCCUAAAGAGGAUGAGUUUUGAAGAGAUGAAGAAGCUAAGGCUUCAGAGAGUUUUAAAGCAACCAGCAGAAAGAACAACAGGACUGGGAUUAGAGGACCUUGGGAUCCACUCUUCAUUUGGU
Phascolarctos cinereus (koala) is the source of this 630-nucleotide non-coding RNA. The record is from RefSeq and is a predicted model, not a curated record. Lineage: Eukaryota; Metazoa; Chordata; Mammalia; Diprotodontia; Phascolarctidae.